CACAGCUCCGAUCUUUAUCAUUCCUCAUUGCGUAUUCCGUUCACGUAUUGUAUCGAAAUACGCGCUAUAUUAAUAUAGCUAAAAGGGCAACGUGCGCGCGAUUUUUUGCCGCGACCUUGCUCUUCAUUGUUCGCGCGCUACAUCUUGUCGAGCAUGAUUCCUAUGCUGAUACGUGCAAGGGCGACGAUAAUUUUCGUUUCCCAUGGCGAUGCGCCGCAUAUAAUAGCCACACAUUACGUUUGUCCAUUGAUAAGAUAUCCGAAUUAAUUGGAUUAAUUGUUCGAUAUUAGAUUCAAGUCCCCAAAUAUCCGGAUUUUUAUAUAUAAUUCAGAUAAUUAAGAUAUGAUAUAAAUAUAAUUAUAUUUAUACAAUAUUAUAUUUAUAUAAAUAAUAAUUGAAAUCUCAAUUAUGCAUCAUAGAAAAUUGUGCAGAAACAGUUCCAUUUUCUUUUAUCUAUUUAUUUCGUAAUAAAAAUUUUAAGUAGAUUUUUCAUUAGUGUCCAUUUGCGAGAAAGAUGUCUCGUUGCAUAAAAGACUUCAUAAAAAAACAUUUUAUAUAAUAGAUGUUUCAAAUAUUUGAAUUUAAAAAACAUUUGAAUUUAAAAAACGCUACAAUUUUAGUGCUCUAUGAUAUAAUAAAAGGAACUGUGCUUUGUAUACAUUUUGAUGUAACACAAAUUUACGCAGAAAGCAUCAGUUUUCGUUUAUCUAAUUGCGGUAGCAAUAAUGUUCUAAAUGUUGCUAGUGAUGCAGAAUAUGCCAAGGCCUGGCUAUUUAUUACGAAUAAUCGGCAGUUUCCAUUACGAUUACGUCCUCAAUUGAGCAUUGAAAGUUCGAUAGGCCAUUGAAUUAUAACGUGUGUUUUGUUAGUCGACGAACUUUCACGUCGAUAACCCGAUCUGCUAUCGCUAAAAUAAACUCAUAGAUCUAUGUCGAGCGAAUUAGGAAAACAACAGCGUACAAUGAAGAACAUGACUUAUGGUUCGUCCCGGUUUUAAAAUAAAAAUGUACUUUACACGAUGUCUUUUUGCCAACAUGUUUCUUUAAUUGGUUUGCUACGAAAUGCCCCUGUAUAUCCCGUUGAAAAUGUAUGCUACAUAAACAGCUGAACAAAAAUUAUUUAAGUUAUUCUAGUACCUGAAAAUACGUAAUGCUUUUUUAUUAUAAUAUCAGCAUACUUAUUUCUGAUAAAUAUGCGCACGAAAUAUGUUACAGAAUAUUUUAUUUAUAUUCAUUAAAUCUUGUAUGUGAUUUUAAAUAAGACACGUUAGAUGAACGACAUAAAUAUUUAUUAAUACAUUUACGUUGACGCAUUCAUUAUUAACGUUUUGCUAAAUUCAAAAUGCGUUUUGCGAAAUACAAAGUACGUUCUUAUUAUAUCUUUCUUGUUAAAAAUACAUGUCAGAACACAUGUUUGUCUUAAAUGCAAAUCAUGAAAGCUUUUAUUAAUGAUGAAAUGGAAAAUGAUUUCAAAAGAUAAGAUUAGAAUUGUAAAGAAGGUGACGCUAAUAUUCUUAUGCUUUAAUGACAAUAACUCUUUUAUGCUAUAUUAUACAAGCAAGAUAUAAUAAGAACGUUGUACUUUGUAUUUCAAUGCAAAAAACGCAUUUUGCAUUGAGCCAAAAGUUAAUAAUGAAUGCGUCAACGUAAAUGUAUUAAUAAAUAUUUAUGUCGUUCAUCUAACGUGUCUUAUUUAAAAUCACAUACAAGAUUUAAUGAAUAUAAAUAAAAUAUUCUGUAACAUAUUUCGUGCGCAUAUUUAUCAGAAAUAAGUAUGCUGAUAUUAUAAUAAAAAAGCAUUACGUAUUUUCAGGUACUAGAAUAUGCUUUAAUAUUAUGCUCACAUUUCUAUAGUCGAACGAACUAAAAACUGAAGGAAAUGAUAAUCGAUAAAUCGCUUGUCAAUUGAGAAUUUUUCAAAGAAGCUUCCAUAUCGAUGGAUCAAGUGCAUAGGAAUGAGGAUUAUUACUUAUAUAUAAAUAAUAUAUUCGAAAUAUAAUUUAAAUUUUUUAAAUUUCUUUAAAGAAAAUAAUUUUUUAGAUUUGUAUCUUUGUUAUAAUAGAUUUUAUGAUAAAUAUGUUAUAAAUAAGUGUGUCAUUGACUCGUGUAUAAGAUAAUGUUAAAUAUUUGUCUUCACAAUUAUAGAAAUAAAAUAUUAAUGUUUGCCAAAUUAAGUUAUUAAUAUUUAUUAAUACUAGGAUUCUAUCAUGUUACUGUCGUCGCUGUUUGUUUCAGAGAAUUACAGAAAUAUAAUUGGCAUGAUAAGUUUUACAGUUAUAGCUGCAGCUAAUUCGCGGAAUAAACUUUGUAAUUACGUACAACUAUAGAGCAAAGAUUAUAAAUUAUCAGUUCAGCUGAGAUGACUUGGCAAAAUCUUCAAAGGAUGCAGCAUAAAAGGGGAUGUGAAUUCUGCGUCCCCUCGCUCGUGCGCUUUUAUCUUCUCAUCCGGCGUUCAAGAGCCGUUAAUGUUCCAUUUCAGAUUCCGAUGACGGCCUCUGUUUUUCUUGAGUUAUGCGCGAAGAUCGACAGCGCGCUUGUUCUCUUCCGCUCUUCGUUUCCUCCGUUCUUCGUUUCGCAAUUAAAUUUUCCUUGCUCGCGCUGCAUACGCGAUAAGCUUAUCAGCGUGGACUUUGGCAAUUAUUGUCAGCUGGAUUCAAACUCUUGCUUCUCUUCCUUCUCUUGUUCUUAAUGAUUGUAAACAAGAAGUUCUCGAAUGUAUCAUCGAGGCACGUCAUUCGUUAUCAGCCAUCCGGAGAGCAACACCAUUACUACAUAACUGUCAUCUUUGUUUCAAUGUUUCGGUACCGCAAACGAUAACAGGGAUCUGCCUCUUCAAUGCCUUAUAGUUCGGAUAGAAGGAUUGCAAAAUGAAUGAGGGCAUCGAUACCGUCUCUAUAAAAUGGCAAUCUCUAGUUCGCGGUGCGGAAGAGAGCCGCACACGAAACCAGAUAGCUUUUGCGGAGGCAAUUCUAAAUGUGACACCAUAAACACGCGCGUCUAUGUGUGCAGACAUGCAUAAAUCAGAGCUUAGAUUUUACGCAAUAGUGUUUACAUCGAAUUCAAGAUAAUAAAUACUUUUUCUCACAUCAAGUAAUAUUCAAUCCCGCUUUAAGUAUACCAAUAUGUGAUAUUUCAUUCGUACAUUAUGCGAUUGCGAAUUCCAUAUGCAUCUAAUCAGUUUUCAUCAUUUUUUUUAUAUAAAGGUUCUCCUUCGUUUUUAAAUCAACUGCUUUUGUGAUGAUAAAUAUAUGUAACCUACGUAAUAUAUGUAACUUGGCAGAGUAUGCAAAACUAGUUUAGAAGACUAUUGCAAGGGGAAAAAAUAUAAAAAAACGAAAAA
This 3339-nucleotide long non-coding RNA is filed under the name Ooceraea biroi (clonal raider ant). RNAcentral's name for it is "uncharacterized LOC109611117". The record is from RNAcentral. Lineage: Eukaryota; Metazoa; Arthropoda; Insecta; Hymenoptera; Formicidae.